Molecule: ribosomal RNA, 407 nt
Filed under: uncultured bacterium
Lineage: Bacteria
Description: partial 16S ribosomal RNA
Rfam family: Bacterial small subunit ribosomal RNA
Source: RNAcentral
UGGGAAUAUUGCACAAUGGGCGCAAGCCUGAUGCCAGCCAUGCCGCGUGUGUGGAGAAGGCCUUCGGGUUGUAAAGCACUUUCAGCGAGGAGGAAGGUGGUGAACUUAAUACGUUCAUCAAUUGACGUUACUCGCAGAAGAAGCACCGGCUAACUCCGUGCCAGCAGCCGCGGUAAUACGGAGGGUGCAAGCGUUAAUCGGAAUUACUGGGCGUAAAGCGCACGCAGGCGGUUUGUUAAGUCAGAUGUGAAAUCCCCGGGCUCAACCUGGGAACUGCAUUUGAAACUGGCAAGCUAGAGUCUCGUAGAGGGGGUAGAAUUCCAGGUGUAGCGGUGAAAUGCGUAGAGAUCUGGAGGAAUACCGGUGGCGAAGGCGGCCCCCUGGANGAAGACUGACGCUCAGGUGCG